This is a long non-coding RNA of Saccostrea echinata, 592 nucleotides long. RefSeq lists it as uncharacterized. The record is from RefSeq and is a predicted model, not a curated record. The transcript has 2 exons. Lineage: Eukaryota; Metazoa; Mollusca; Bivalvia; Ostreida; Ostreidae.
UUCCGGAACCAGUGAGUGACCUGCAUAUGCGUGAAUUUAUGACCAUUAUGUUUUGUUAAUUCAGCCUUGAAGUACAAGUGAACAGUUAUGAUGAAUUCCUUAUCCUCUUUCUUGAGAGCAACCAGAGUCCUUCUUCCCCCCUUGCUACAAACCAGCAGCAUUAGUAGAAGCUUCUCCACGGUGUACCAGAAAUGUUCUAUCAGUUCCUAUAUAACACAGUUUACCUCCACACAACAUUUAUUAAUGCCAUCCAUCAUUAAACUAGAGCAAACACGAGCAUAUCAACCAAGAGGUGUUCCAAAGUUAAGAUGCAGACAUUGCUAUUUUGUUACCAGACAUGGUCAACUAUUUGUUGAGUGUACAAGUAAAAAAAGACAUAGGCAGUUUCAAAUUGUUGGGAAAAGUCGUCGAUUUAAGGAUGAUCUAACUGAAGGAAAGUAUAAGAAUUUUGUUUACCAGGAUUUUAAACACAGAAGAUUUUAUAGGCUCGGAGAAUCAAUAUGGUCAAAGGAUGAUUUAGUUGGUGACAGAAUGGGAAAGGACUUGUAGAAUUAUAAUAUUAUAAAUUGUAAAAUAAAAGUAAUGAAAAUAG